This 442-nucleotide ribosomal RNA is filed under the name uncultured bacterium. RNAcentral's name for it is "partial 16S ribosomal RNA". It matches the Rfam family "Bacterial small subunit ribosomal RNA", at positions 338 to 795 of the family's 1533-position model. The record is from RNAcentral.
CCUACGGGUGGCUGCAGUGGGGAAUAUUGGUCAAUGGGCGCAAGCCUGACCCAGCAACGCCGCGUGAAGGAAGAAGGCUUUCGGGUUGUAAACUUCUUUUAAGAGGGAAGAGCAGAAGACGGUACCUCUUGAAUAAGCCACGGCUAACUACUUGCCAGCAGCCGCGGUAAUACGGAGGUGGAAAGCGUUGUCCGGAUUUACUGGGUGUAAAGGGCGUGCAGCCGGGAAGACAAGUCAGAUGUGAAAUCCCGGGGCUCAACCGCAGAACUGCAUUUGAAACUGUUUUUCUUGAGUAGCGGAGAGGUAAUAGGAAUUCCGGGUGGAGCGGUGAAAUGCGUAGAGAUAAGGAAGAACACCAGUGGAGAAGGCGGAUGGCUGGACGGUAACUGACGGUGAGGCGCGAAAGCGUGGGGAGCAAACAGGAUUAGAUACCCGAGUAGUC